GCGCCCUUAGCUCAGUUGGAUAGAGCGCGGGUCUUCUAAACCUGAGGUCGCAGGUUCGAAUCCUGCAGGGCGCGCCA
RNAcentral lists this transfer RNA (77 nucleotides) under Erythrobacter sp. 3-20A1M. RNAcentral describes it as "tRNA-Arg". It matches the Rfam family "tRNA". From Rfam's summary of the family: Transfer RNA (tRNA) molecules are approximately 80 nucleotides in length. Their secondary structure includes four short double-helical elements and three loops (D, anti-codon, and T loops). Lineage: Bacteria; Pseudomonadati; Pseudomonadota; Alphaproteobacteria; Sphingomonadales; Erythrobacteraceae. The record is from RNAcentral. RNAcentral also lists the same sequence under 1 other name.